UAAUUUAAUUUGAAUGAUAACCUCAUUUUGCUCCCUUAAAUAUGGACGAUUAUGGAGAAUAGUGAUCAAUGACUCAUCUGAUAAGGUCAUGCUUGGGAGAUGCCACGAGGCUUGAGAAGAUGUGCCACGUGGGCACAUUCACUUUGUGAAGCAUUGCAGAAAUUUAUUUUCACUCUAAAGAAAGCAAAUCAUUAACUGCUUGGCCAUUAACUCUUAAAAAGCAUCGAUUG
RNAcentral lists this long non-coding RNA (230 nucleotides) under Elaeis guineensis (African oil palm). Its description in RNAcentral is "long non-coding RNA (EGUI_LNC014307)". Lineage: Eukaryota; Viridiplantae; Streptophyta; Magnoliopsida; Arecales; Arecaceae. The record is from RNAcentral.